UACGGAGGGUGCAAGCGUUAUCCGGAUUCACUGGGUUUAAAGGGUGCGUAGGCGGACAUGUAAGUCCGUGGUGAAAUCUCUAAGCUUAACUUGGAAACUGCCAUGGAUACUAUAUGUCUUGAAUGUUGUGGAGGUUAGCGGAAUAUGUCAUGUAGCGGUGAAAUGCAUAGAUAUGACAUAGAACACCAAUUGCGAAGGCAGCUGGCUACACAAAUAUUGACGCUGAGGCACGGAAGCGUGGGGAUCAAACAGG
RNAcentral lists this ribosomal RNA (253 nucleotides) under uncultured bacterium. RNAcentral describes it as "partial 16S ribosomal RNA". It matches the Rfam family "Bacterial small subunit ribosomal RNA", at positions 524 to 776 of the family's 1533-position model. The record is from RNAcentral.